This 497-nucleotide ribosomal RNA is filed under the name uncultured bacterium. RNAcentral describes it as "partial 16S ribosomal RNA". It matches the Rfam family "Bacterial small subunit ribosomal RNA", at positions 28 to 507 of the family's 1533-position model. The record is from RNAcentral.
GAUGAACGCUGGCGGCGUGCCUAAUACAUGCAAGUCGAGCGAACAGACGAGGAGCUUGCUCCCCUGACGUUAGCGGCGGACGGGUGAGUAACACGUGGAUAACCUACCUAUAAGACUGGGAUAACUUCGGGAAACCGGAGCUAAUACCGGAUAAUAUAUUGAACCGCAUGGUUCAAUAGUGAAAGAGGGUUUUGCUGUCACUUAUAGAUGGAUCCGCGCCGCAUUAGCUAGUUGGUAAGGUAACGGCUUACCAAGGCAACGAUGCGUAGCCGACCUGAGAGGGUGAUCGGCCACACUGGAACUGAGACACGGUCCAGACUCCUACGGGAGGCAGCAGUAGGGAAUCUUCCGCAAUGGGCGAAAGCCUGACGGAGCAACGCCGCGUGAGUGAUGAAGGUCUUCGGAUCGUAAAACUCUGUUAUUAGGGAAGAACAAAUGUGUAAGUAACUAUGCACGUCUUGACGGUACCUAAUCAGAAAGCCACGGCUAACUACGUG